This 148-nucleotide unclassified non-coding RNA is filed under the name fungal sp. RNAcentral's name for it is "partial internal transcribed spacer region". The stretch from base 1 to 46 matches the Rfam family "Eukaryotic small subunit ribosomal RNA", at positions 1786 to 1831 of the family's 1831-position model. The record is from RNAcentral. Lineage: Eukaryota; Fungi.
AAGUCGUAACAAGGUUUCCGUAGGUGAACCUGCGGAAGGAUCAUUAAAGGAGAAUGAAAAACCACAUUGUGCAAGACAGUACUAUAAAUUAUAAUUAGUUGGAAAAAUUUAAUAGAGACAACUUUUAGCAACGGAUCUCUAGGUUCUC